This 359-nucleotide ribosomal RNA is filed under the name Staphylococcus pseudintermedius. Its description in RNAcentral is "bacterial SSU rRNA". It matches the Rfam family "Bacterial small subunit ribosomal RNA", at positions 1 to 349 of the family's 1533-position model. Lineage: Bacteria; Bacillati; Bacillota; Bacilli; Caryophanales; Staphylococcaceae. The record is from RNAcentral.
UUUAUGGAGAGUUUGAUCCUGGCUCAGGAUGAACGCUGGCGGCGUGCCUAAUACAUGCAAGUCGAGCGAACAGAUAAGGAGCUUGCUCCUUUGACGUUAGCGGCGGACGGGUGAGUAACACGUGGGUAACCUACCUAUAAGACUGGAAUAACUCCGGGAAACCGGGGCUAAUGCCGGAUAACAUGUUGAACCGCAUGGUUCUACAGUGAAAGACGGUCUUGCUGUCACUUAUAGAUGGACCCGCGCCGUAUUAGCUAGUUGGUGGGGUAACGGCCUACCAAGGCGACGAUACGUAGCCGACCUGAGAGGGUGAUCGGCCACACUGGAACUGAGACACGGUCCAGACUCCUACGGGAGGC